GACGAACGCUGGCGGCGUGCUUAACACAUGCAAGUCGAACGAGACGAUUGAAAGCUUGCUUUUAAAAGUCGAGUGGCAAACGGGUGAGUAACGCGUAGACAACCUGCCUUUGAGAUGGGGCCAACAGUUCGAAAGGACUGCUAAUACCGAAUGUUGUAUAUUUUCCACAUGGAAGAUAUAUUAAAGAUGGCCUCUAUUUAUAAGCUAUCGCUCAAAGAUGGGUCUGGGUCUGAUUAGCUGGUUGGUGGGGUAACGGCCUACCAAGGCGACGAUCAGUAGCCGGUCUGAGAGGAUGAACGGCCACAUUGGGACUGAGACACGGCCCAGACUCCUACGGGAGGCAGCAGUGGGGAAUCUUCCACAAUGGACGAAAGUCUGAUGGAGCAACGCCGCGUGAGUGAAGAAGGGUUUCGGCUCGUAAAGCUCUGUUGUCGGGGACGAAUGUGCAGUAUUUGAAUAAAGUACUGCGAUGACGGUACCUGACGAGGAAGCCACGGCUAACUACGUGCCAGCCGCCGCCGUAA
RNAcentral lists this ribosomal RNA (524 nucleotides) under uncultured bacterium. RNAcentral's name for it is "partial 16S ribosomal RNA". It matches the Rfam family "Bacterial small subunit ribosomal RNA", at positions 28 to 523 of the family's 1533-position model. The record is from RNAcentral.